GGAUGUGAGGGCAAUCUGGCUGUGACAUGUGUCACCGCAUUGAUCACCAAGGCUGAUUUGGCUGCCUAGGCAGGUGUCCCCUUCCUCCCUCCUCACACUUCAAGUGCACCCCUCCCAAAGCUGCAUGUUCAGUGGAAGAGGACCACCUACCUAACAGAGCAGGACUGUUCUUGAGUCAAGGGAUAUGAGUAGCAGCACUCCUCUGCUAGAAUCUCCAAAUAAGCUUCCUGGGUCCAUUGAUAGGAGAACUUAGGGUAGUCAAGAUUCCAGGACUCCAAUUAAAAACAUUGUUUUUUUU
Ailuropoda melanoleuca (giant panda) is the source of this 298-nucleotide non-coding RNA. The record is from Rfam. NCBI's taxonomy places the organism in Eukaryota, Metazoa, Chordata, Mammalia, Carnivora, Ursidae.